AUCCUUUUGUAGUUCAUGAGCGUGCUAAUUGGGUGUUCACGAACACGUGUAAGAUGUGCCCCUUUUGAACUUUGUUAAGACGUUGACACAUUACCUUCUGAUG
Molecule: small nucleolar RNA, 103 nt
Organism: Macaca fascicularis (crab-eating macaque)
Lineage: Eukaryota; Metazoa; Chordata; Mammalia; Primates; Cercopithecidae
Source: Ensembl